UCCCAACGACAACGGACAGCCGUAUGUUCACGCCCAGGUAAACCUAAAGCGAAUCCUCACAUGCGUUCGACAGGUCAUGCAGUUGAACCCACGUUGAGUGGUGCAGUGGUCAUCGUUGUUGGUGUAAUGUUGGCGGUUAGAGGCUUGUGAAUUACCUUGGCUUACCUCUUUUGAAGGAAGAACAGACGAUAUCAUACGAGUCAGUAUGAACACCUGGCAAUGGAAACAAUAAAACGUUCCUAAAUGAC
Molecule: long non-coding RNA, 248 nt
Organism: Haliotis rubra (blacklip abalone)
Lineage: Eukaryota; Metazoa; Mollusca; Gastropoda; Lepetellida; Haliotidae
Exons: 2
Source: RefSeq, a predicted model, not a curated record